This 433-nucleotide ribosomal RNA is filed under the name uncultured bacterium. Its description in RNAcentral is "partial 16S ribosomal RNA". It matches the Rfam family "Bacterial small subunit ribosomal RNA", at positions 29 to 507 of the family's 1533-position model. The record is from RNAcentral.
AACGAACGCUGGCGGCAUGCCUAACACAUGCAAGUCGAACGAGACCUUCGGGUCUAGUGGCGUACGGGUGCGUAACGCGUGGGAACCUGCCCUUAGGUUCGGAAUAACUCCCCGAAAGGGGUGCUAAUACCGGAUAAUGUCUUCGGACCAAAGAUUUAUCGCCUUUGGAUGGGCCCGCGUUGGAUUAGCUAGUUGGUAGGGUAAAAGCCUACCAAGGCGACGAUCCAUAGCUGGUCUGAGAGGAUGAUCAGCCACACUGGGACUGAGACACGGCCCAGACUCCUACGGGAGGCAGCAGUGGGGAAUAUUGGACAAUGGGCGAAAGCCUGAUCCAGCAAUGCCGCGUGAGUGAUGAAGGCCUUGGGGUUGUAAAGCUCUUUUACCCGGGAUGAUAAUGACAGUACCGGGAGAAUAAGCUCCGGCUAACUCCGUG